This 162-nucleotide unclassified non-coding RNA is filed under the name uncultured fungus. RNAcentral's name for it is "sequence contains ITS1". The record is from RNAcentral. Lineage: Eukaryota; Fungi.
UUGAUUUAUUUUUUGGUUACUCAGAAGAAACACAUGAUUAAAAUAGAGGUUUGGGGCCCUCGGCCACUGCCGAAACAGAGGCCGAAGCAACUUUGGUAUGUUCACAAUGGGUUAUGAGUUUGAAACUCGGUAAUGAUCCCUCCGCUGGUUCACCAACGGAGA